RNAcentral lists this ribosomal RNA (634 nucleotides) under Domibacillus robiginosus. RNAcentral describes it as "bacterial SSU rRNA". It matches the Rfam family "Bacterial small subunit ribosomal RNA", at positions 105 to 725 of the family's 1533-position model. The record is from RNAcentral. Lineage: Bacteria; Bacillati; Bacillota; Bacilli; Caryophanales; Bacillaceae.
GGUGAGUAACACGUGGGCAACCUGCCCUGCAGAUUGGGAUAACUCCGGGAAACCGGGGCUAAUACCGAAUAACAUUGAAAACCUCAUGGUUUUCUUUUGAAAGGCGGCUUCGGCUGUCACUGCAGGAUGGGCCCGCGGCGCAUUAGCUAGUUGGUGAGGUAACGGCUCACCAAGGCAACGAUGCGUAGCCGACCUGAGAGGGUGAUCGGCCACACUGGGACUGAGACACGGCCCAGACUCCUACGGGAGGCAGCAGUAGGGAAUCUUCCGCAAUGGACGAAAGUCUGACGGAGCAACGCCGCGUGAGUGAAGAAGGUUUUCGGAUCGUAAAACUCUGUUGUCAGGGAAGAACAAGUAUGGGAGUAACUGCCCGUACCUUGACGGUACCUGGCCAGAAAGCCACGGCUAACUACGUGCCAGCAGCCGCGGUAAUACGUAGGUGGCAAGCGUUGUCCGGAAUUAUUGGGCGUAAAGCGCGCGCAGGCGGCCUUUUAAGUCUGAUGUGAAAGCCCCCGGCUCAACCGGGGAGGGUCAUUGGAAACUGGAAGGCUUGAGUGCAGAAGAGAAGAGCGGAAUUCCACGUGUAGCGGUGAAAUGCGUAGAGAUGUGGAGGAACACCAGUGGCGAAGGCGGC